GUCCGACCUCCUCUGGUUUGUUGGGUUUGUUGGACUUGUUGGGUUUGUUGGACUUGUUGGGUUUGUUGGACUUGUUGGUUUUGUUUAACUUGUUGGAUUUGUUUGGUUUGUUGGCUUUGUUGGUUUUGUUUGACUUGUUUGACUUGUUUGGUUUGUUGGGUUUGUUGGACUUGUUGGGUUUGUUGGGCUUGUAGGUUUUGUUUGACUUGUUGGAUUUGUUUGGCUUGUUGGACUUGUUGGUUUUGUUUGACUUGUUUGGUUUGUUGAGUUUGUUCGACUUGUUGGGUUUGUUGGACCUGUUGGGUUUGUUGGACUUGUUGGUUUUGUUUGACUUGUUGGUUUUGUUCUGUUUGACUUGUUGGGUUUGUUGGACCUGUUGGGUUUGUUGGACUUGUUCGUUUUGUUUGACUUGUUGGAUUUGUUUGGCUUGUUGGACUUGUUGGUUCUGUUUGACUUGUUGGAUUUGUUUGGCUUGUUGGUUUUGUUUGACUUGUUUGAUUUGUUGGGUUUGUUGGACUUGUUGGGUUUGUUGGACUUGUUGGUUUUGUUUGACUUGUUUGGUUUGUUGGGUUUGUUGGACUUGUUGAACUUGUUGGGUCUGUUGGACUUGUUGGGUUUGUUUGACUGGUUUGGCUUGUUGGAUUUGUUUGACGUGUUGGCUUGUUGGACGUGUUGGGUUUGUUGGUUUUGUUGGCUUGUUGGGUUUGUUUGACUUGUUGGACUUGUUUGGCUUGUUGGACUUGUUGGGUUUGUUUGACUUGUUUGGCUUGCUGGAUUUGUUUGACGUGUGCCAUUGUUGGUUUUUUGGCUUGUUGGACGUGUUGGGUUUGUUGGCUUGUUGGGUUUGUUGGAUUCGUUUGACUUGUUGGUUUUGUUUGACUUGUUGGUUUUGUUUGGCUUGUUGGGGAUUGUUGGUUUUAUUUGCUUGUUUGACUUGUUGGAUUUGUUUGACAUGUUGGGCUUGUUGGCUUGUUGGGUUUGUUUGCUUGUUUAACUUGUUGGAUUUGUUUGACAUGUUGGGUUUGUUGGCUUGUUGGGUUUGUUGGUUUUGUUUGGCUUGUUGGUUUUGUUUCUUGUUGGGUUUGUUUGGCUUGUUGGAUUUGUUUGGCUUGUUGGUUUUGUUUGGUUUGUUGGAUUUGUUUUGCUUGUUGGACUUAUUGGUUUUUGUUGGCUUGUUGGAUGUGUUGG
Paramuricea clavata is the source of this 1188-nucleotide non-coding RNA. Lineage: Eukaryota; Metazoa; Cnidaria; Anthozoa; Malacalcyonacea; Plexauridae. The record is from the annotation of a GenBank genome assembly.